UCCUUCCGUAGGUGAACUGCGGAAGGAUCAUUAAC
RNAcentral lists this ribosomal RNA (35 nucleotides) under Phanerodontia chrysosporium. Its description in RNAcentral is "partial 18S ribosomal RNA". The record is from RNAcentral. Lineage: Eukaryota; Fungi; Basidiomycota; Agaricomycetes; Polyporales; Phanerochaetaceae.